CGAACGCUGGCGGCGUGCCUAAUACAUGCAAGUAGAACGCUGAAGAGAGGAGCUUGCUCUUCUUGGAUGAGUUGCGAACGGGUGAGUAACGCGUAGGUAACCUGCCUUGUAGCGGGGGAUAACUAUUGGAAACGAUAGCUAAUACCGCAUAACAAUGGAUGACACAUGUCAUUUAUUUGAAAGGGGCAAUUGCUCCACUACAAGAUGGACCUGCGUUGUAUUAGCUAGUAGGUGAGGUAACGGCUCACCUAGGCGACGAUACAUAGCCGACCUGAGAGGGUGAUCGGCCACACUGGGACUGAGACACGGCCCAGACUCCUACGGGAGGUAGCAGUAGGGAAUCUUCGGCAAUGGGGGCAACCCUGACCGAGCAACGCCGCGUGAGUGAAGAAGGUUUUCGGAUCGUAAAGCUCUGUUGUAAGUCAAGAACGAGUGUGAGAGUGGAAAGUUCACACUGUGACGGUAGCUUACCAGAAAGGGACGGCUAACUACGUG
RNAcentral lists this ribosomal RNA (495 nucleotides) under uncultured bacterium. RNAcentral describes it as "partial 16S ribosomal RNA". It matches the Rfam family "Bacterial small subunit ribosomal RNA", at positions 30 to 507 of the family's 1533-position model. The record is from RNAcentral.